This 1402-nucleotide ribosomal RNA is filed under the name uncultured bacterium. RNAcentral describes it as "bacterial SSU rRNA". It matches the Rfam family "Bacterial small subunit ribosomal RNA", at positions 27 to 1394 of the family's 1533-position model. The record is from RNAcentral.
GAACGAACGCUGGCGGCGUGGCUUAGGCAUGCAAGUCGAACGAGAAUCCCGGGGCAACUCGGGUAGUAAAGUGGCGAAAGGGUGAGUAAUGCAUCGACAACCUGCCCUCAAGAGUGGCACAACCCCUGGAAACGGGGGCUAAUACCACGUAACGUUCCCGGGAGGCAUCUUCUGGGAACCAAAGGAUGGGGACCCUUCGGGGCCUAUCGCUGGAGGAGGGGUCGAUGUCCUAUUAGCUAGUUGGUGGGGUAACGGCCUACCAAGGCAUAGAUGGGUAGCUGGCCUAAGAGGGUGGUCAGCCACACUGGGACUGAGACACUGCCCAGACUCCUACGGGAGGCUGCAGUCGAGAAUCUUCGGCAAUGGGCGAAAGCCUGACCGAGCGACGCCGCGUGGGGGAUGAAGGCCUUCGGGUUGUAAACCCCUGUCAGGUGUUAAGAAACCUUGCUCCAUAACAUGGGGCUGGGUUGACAAAGGCACCAGAGGAAGUCAUGGCUAACUCUGUGCCAGCAGCCGCGGUAAGACAGAGAUGACAAGCGUUGUUCGAAUUUACUGGGCAUACAGGGCAUGUAGGCGGCCCGAUCCGUCAGAGGUGAAAUCCCCCGGCUUAACCGAGGAAUUGCCUUUGAAACAAUCGGGCUUGAGGACGAGAGGGGAGAGUGGGAAUUCCUGGUGGAGCGGUGAAAUGCGUAGAUAUCAGGAAGAACGCCCGGUGGCGAAAGCGACUCUCUGGUUCGUCCCUGACGCUGAGGUGCGAAAGCUAGGGGAGCAAACGGGAUUAGAUACCCCGGUAGUCCUAGCCGUAAACGAUGGGCACUACGUAGUGGUGGGACCGAUCCCAUCACUGCCGGAGCAAAUGUCUUAAGUGCCCCGCCUGGGGAGUACGGCCGCAAGGCUAAAACUCAAAGGAAUUGACGGGGGCUCGCACAAGCGGUGGAGCAUGUGGUUCAAUUCGAAGCAACGCGAAGAACCUUACCAGGGUUUGAAAAGCUAGCUGUAACCCCCCGAAAGGGAGGCGAACCGUAAAGUCGGAAGCUAGUACAGGUGCUGCAUGGCUGUCGUCAGCUCGUGCCGUGAGGUGUCGGGUUAAGUCCUCUAACGAGCGAAACUCCUACCCCUAGUUGCCAGCGGGUCAUGCCGGGGACUCUAGGGGGACUGCUCCGUUUAACGGGGAGGAAGGUGGGAACGACGUCAAGUCAUCAUGGCCCUUAUGUCCUGGGCUACACACGUGCCACAAUGGCCGGUACAAAGGGACGCGAUACCGCGAGGUGGAGCAAAUCCCUAAAAGCCGGUCUCAGUUCGGAUCGGAGGCUGCAAUUCGCCUCCGUGAAGCUGGAAUCGCUAGUAAUCGCAGGUCAGCCACACUGCGGUGAAUGUGUUCCUGAGCCUUGUACACACCGCC